UGCUUAUCCAGAGUGACCGAGGGUCUGGCCCGAUGACGUCCGGCAACCCCCUUAGGGGAAGGUGCCAAUUCCUGCAGAAUGACUAACAUUCUGAAAGAUAAGUC
This 104-nucleotide non-coding RNA is filed under the name Desulfitobacterium metallireducens. Its description in RNAcentral is "SAM-I sequence". It matches the Rfam family "SAM riboswitch aptamer (S box leader)". Rfam says of the family: The SAM riboswitch is found upstream of a number of genes which code for proteins involved in methionine or cysteine biosynthesis in Gram-positive bacteria. The SAM riboswitch acts at the level of transcription termination control. RNAcentral also lists the same sequence under 1 other name. The record is from RNAcentral. Lineage: Bacteria; Bacillati; Bacillota; Clostridia; Eubacteriales; Desulfitobacteriaceae.